RNAcentral lists this non-coding RNA (27 nucleotides) under Homo sapiens (human). Lineage: Eukaryota; Metazoa; Chordata; Mammalia; Primates; Hominidae. The record is from RNAcentral.
UGCAUAAGUAAAGAGGAGCUGAAUGUU